AUAACGACGAUGAAUGGUCAGAAGGUUAAACAUGUUUGUCCAGCGAAUUGAGGAUAGUGUAAGCUCAAUCAAACAGUUAACUCAAAUUCAACCAGGAGUUGGAGGGCUGAUAAGGCUCUUUCGCUUUGUUCCCGUUAUCGAACACAAUGAGGAUAUAUUUGUAUAUCAAAUCAGGGUGGUACCACGUUAAUCAACGUCCCUUUG
RNAcentral lists this non-coding RNA (204 nucleotides) under Weissella viridescens. RNAcentral's name for it is "T-box sequence". It matches the Rfam family "T-box leader". From Rfam's summary of the family: Uncharged tRNA acts as the effector for transcription antitermination of genes in the T-box leader family. T-boxes are found upstream of many aminoacyl-tRNA synthetase genes and some amino acid biosynthetic genes usually in Gram-positive bacteria. The anticodon of a specific tRNA base pairs to a specifier sequence within the T-box motif, and the NCCA acceptor tail of the tRNA base pairs to a conserved bulge in the T-box antiterminator hairpin. Lineage: Bacteria; Bacillati; Bacillota; Bacilli; Lactobacillales; Lactobacillaceae. The record is from RNAcentral.